CUACAGCUAGUACCAUAAUCAAUGUUGAAAUGCUGAAUGCUUUUUCUCUAUGAUCAGGUCAGAUUCUUUUCUUUUCUCCAUACCUAAUAUAUCCAUCCAUAGUUCUUGGUUCAUAUAUUUCUCUAAAAUAUAUUCUUUCCAGGGGAGGAGCCAAGAUGGCGGAAGAGCAUGGAAGCUUUUUGCGUGUCUUGUGUCCAUGAAAUACAGCCAGACCAACACUAAACCAUCCUACACACCUAGAAAACUGAUUGGAAGAUUAACACAACAAUCUGCACAACCUGAACCACAGAAUUCAGCAGGUAUGCGACAUGAAGAGCUGAACUUGGGCAGCAAGAAGCCCCGAAAGGUGAAGAACUGUGUGCUAUUGAAGAUUCUCUCCUAUUUCUUCAAAAGGCCCAUGCUCAUCAAGAGGCUAGGGAGAGGAGUGUGGAUUCAGGAACCCGAGUUAUCGAAAGCCCAUGUACUGGGUACUACAUUGUACAGAAACCCCAAGAAGAGUGAGCAGCAAGUUAAACAUCUUUUACUAAGGGCUGUCUUUCUUUUAACUAUCUUUCUAUAUCCUGGAGCUCGUUGGUCUUACUGUGGCAUUCUUCUGCAAAGGUAGUCUGAUUUCAUUAAGUGAGAGAGUGACAGGAUGUUUCCUGAGACGUGUUUUGCCAAUAGGAAUACAGCAUACAAUGCAUAAGGUAUGUAUUAAAAAAUCAUCAGAAAUGCUAUAUAGGUAUAAGUCACUACAUCAAAACAUAUUUCUGUUCAAAACAAUAUAUUUUUAUUCAGUCCAGAAAUACUUUUUGAAUAUAUGUCAAAAGUUUUAAGGUGUUAAUAUCACAUUGUAUUCUUUAGCUACUCAAGAAGAUAGGCAUUGUCCCUUAGUUAGCACAUUUGAUUUUCUUUGGGUUUUAAAAUAAAAAUUAAUAUACUCACUUUAUUAAAAUUUCA
Molecule: long non-coding RNA, 939 nt
Filed under: Felis catus (domestic cat)
Lineage: Eukaryota; Metazoa; Chordata; Mammalia; Carnivora; Felidae
Description: lncRNA (ENSFCAG00000052123.1)
Source: RNAcentral